CCUACGGGUGGCUGCAGUGGGGAAUAUUGCACAAUGGGCGCAAGCCUGAUGCAGCCAUGCCGCGUGUGUGAAGAAGGCCUUCGGGUUGUAAAGCACUUUCAGCGGGGAGGAAGGCGUUAAGGUUAAUAACCUUGUCGAUUGACGUUACCCGCAGAAGAAGCACCGGCUAACUCCGUGCCAGCAGCCGCGGUAAUACGGAGGGUGCAAGCGUUAAUCGGAAUUACUGGGCGUAAAGCGCACGCAGGCGGUCUGUCAAGUCGGAUGUGAAAUCCCCGGGCUCAACCUGGGAACUGCAUUCGAAACUGGCAGGCUAGAGUCUUGUAGAGGGGGGUAGAAUUCCAGGUGUAGCGGUGAAAUGCGUAGAGAUCUGGAGGAAUACCGGUGGCGAAGGCGGCCCCCUGGGCAAAGGCUGACGCUCAGGUGCGAAAGCGUGGGGAGCAAACAGGAUUAGAUACCCCUGUAGUC
RNAcentral lists this ribosomal RNA (465 nucleotides) under uncultured Klebsiella sp. Its description in RNAcentral is "bacterial SSU rRNA". It matches the Rfam family "Bacterial small subunit ribosomal RNA", at positions 338 to 795 of the family's 1533-position model. Lineage: Bacteria; Pseudomonadati; Pseudomonadota; Gammaproteobacteria; Enterobacterales; Enterobacteriaceae. The record is from RNAcentral.